RNAcentral lists this ribosomal RNA (693 nucleotides) under Serratia sp. (in: enterobacteria). RNAcentral's name for it is "bacterial SSU rRNA". It matches the Rfam family "Bacterial small subunit ribosomal RNA", at positions 798 to 1494 of the family's 1533-position model. Lineage: Bacteria; Pseudomonadati; Pseudomonadota; Gammaproteobacteria; Enterobacterales; Yersiniaceae. The record is from RNAcentral.
GGCCGUACGAUGUCGACUUGGAGGUUGUGCCCUUGAGGCGUGGCUUCCGGAGCUAACGCGUUAAGUCGACCGCCUGGGGAGUACGGCCGCAAGGUUAAAACUCAAAUGAAUUGACGGGGGCCCGCACAAGCGGUGGAGCAUGUGGUUUAAUUCGAUGCAACGCGAAGAACCUUACCUGGUCUUGACAUCCACAGAACUUUCCAGAGAUGGAUUGGUGCCUUCGGGAACUGUGAGACAGGUGCUGCAUGGCUGUCGUCAGCUCGUGUUGUGAAAUGUUGGGUUAAGUCCCGCAACGAGCGCAACCCUUAUCCUUUGUUGCCAGCGGUCCGGCCGGGAACUCAAAGGAGACUGCCAGUGAUAAACUGGAGGAAGGUGGGGAUGACGUCAAGUCAUCAUGGCCCUUACGACCAGGGCUACACACGUGCUACAAUGGCGCAUACAAAGAGAAGCGACCUCGCGAGAGCAAGCGGACCUCAUAAAGUGCGUCGUAGUCCGGAUUGGAGUCUGCAACUCGACUCCAUGAAGUCGGAAUCGCUAGUAAUCGUGGAUCAGAAUGCCACGGUGAAUACGUUCCCGGGCCUUGUACACACCGCCCGUCACACCAUGGGAGUGGGUUGCAAAAGAAGUAGGUAGCUUAACCUUCGGGAGGGCGCUUACCACUUUGUGAUUCAUGACUGGGGUGAAGUCGAACGG